AGAGUUUGAUCAUGGCUCAGAAUGAACGCUGGCGGCGUGCCUAACACAUGCAAGUCGAACGAGAAAGGGGCCUUCGGGUCCUGAGUAAAGUGGCGAACGGGUGAGUAACGCGUGGGUAACCUGUCCUCGAGUGAGGAAUAACUUGGCGAAAGCUGAGCUAAUACCGCAUGACAUCCCAGGGUCUUCGGGUCCAGGGAUCAAAGGUAGCGAGCUUCGAGCGCUGCCGCUUGAGGGGGGGCCUGCGUCCCAUUAGCUUGUUGGUGAGGUAACGGCUCACCAAGGCUCCGAUGGGUAGCCGAGCUGAGAGGCUGACCGGCCACACUGGAACUGAGACACGGUCCAGACUCCUACGGGAGGCAGCAGUGGGGAAUUUUGCGCAA
RNAcentral lists this ribosomal RNA (380 nucleotides) under uncultured bacterium. RNAcentral's name for it is "bacterial SSU rRNA". It matches the Rfam family "Bacterial small subunit ribosomal RNA", at positions 8 to 371 of the family's 1533-position model. The record is from RNAcentral.